Molecule: long non-coding RNA, 520 nt
Organism: Passer domesticus (house sparrow)
Lineage: Eukaryota; Metazoa; Chordata; Aves; Passeriformes; Passeridae
Exons: 2
Source: RefSeq, a predicted model, not a curated record
CCCUCCUGGGAAGAGCUGUUUCUCUGAACCUCUUGCUGUCCAAAUUUAUUUCAUCUGGAUGUCAGCCGAUCCUUUUGGAAGCCUCAGCACUGCUGUGUGGAGAGAAGCAAGCAGCUGCCCUUUCAUACCACCAUUUUCACAAUUAUCUAAUCAAGGUUAAGCCAAGGAGUCCCCUUUACCUCACACCUCCCACAUCUGGAGUGCAGCUGCCUUUUGCUGCGCUUUUGAGUCCUGGGCAUCAUUUUCCUCAGCUCUUUGAUUCAGAAGCUGGGCUGUUCUCACAGGAGACCAGGAGCAGUGAGAAGGUGUUUGCAGCUGAAGAACAUUCCAGCACGUUCUGGAAUGCAGUGGGAGGGUUGGGUGGCAGUUUGGAUGUGCAGGAUACACUGUGGGUGUAUUUCUGAAGAAAAUUCAGAAAGAAUGGCUUUGACCAGCACUUGAUCAUGUUUCUGCUGUUUGUGGGGAUUCUAUUCCCCUGUGGCUUACUUUGGACGUGGUUUUUAUUUCCAGAAUUUUUUUU